Long non-coding RNA from Onychostoma macrolepis, 816 nucleotides. RefSeq lists it as uncharacterized. The transcript has 4 exons. The record is from RefSeq and is a predicted model, not a curated record. NCBI's taxonomy places the organism in Eukaryota, Metazoa, Chordata, Actinopteri, Cypriniformes, Cyprinidae.
CUAGUUUCCAGGUUUCAAACCUAAACAUCUCUAUUUCAUAUGGCACAGAAAUUUUUAAAACAGAAGUUGGAAAAACAAACAAACAGAAAAGCUGUAAAAUCAACAAUAAAUAAAUAAAAUAGACACAUGUAAAUGUCAGACAGUCACAACAGUCAUCAGCAACCACAUUCAGAUCACAAUCACCUAAGUAUUAAUCACCCGCACCUGCUGCAGCUCAUCAAGCUCCCCUUUAUAUACACAAACUCCACACGCCUUCUUUGUCUGGUCUACCAUUCACACCCUGAACAAUGCCAGACUGGCUUGUGAGCCGUACUUGUGUUUACUCACCUCAGAUGCUCCUGUUCUCCACCGAUCCAGUACUCCUCCGCUCCAGAUUCUCCACAAUCCUCCUACAGCCAAAGAGGAACCUAUUACCACAAGCCAAGCAAUAGACUGUUGCAUCUGGAACAUUCUCAAUAUAAAGGGUUCAGCUACUCACCUGUACAAGCUGAGUCAUUACACAACAGGUGUAAUUCUGCAUGGAACAAGGGAACAGUUGGCCUAACAAGGCUUACGAAAAGUCAACUUUGAAAAAUAUGUGAUGGGGUGAUUACCUUUGUAAAUGUGAACAAUGUGCUGUGCUGUGGACAAAUAAAACAACAGAGAUGGUUGUAGCCAUUCUGUGGAGGAAAAGUUAGUAUUCAGCCCUCAUAUCGAUCAUCAACUGAAUGCGGUGCCAUAUCCAGUGGAUAUAUCUUUCUUGCACCAGCUGCAACUCUGUGAUCCUGCAGCAACAGGAAUCAUAAUAAUCAAUCAUCAGUAUGAAUGUCUGUAAUA